AUUACUUUGGCAGAAUAGUGUAUUAAGUUUAGAACUUAAAUAUGUAAUUAUAUUACAAGUAAUA
This 64-nucleotide transfer RNA is filed under the name Nothochrysa sp. YTD-2015. Its description in RNAcentral is "tRNA-Leu". The record is from RNAcentral. Lineage: Eukaryota; Metazoa; Arthropoda; Insecta; Neuroptera; Chrysopidae.